AUGGUCACUCCUUUCUCUCCCUCUCUCAGCCUUAUACUCACUCCUUUCUCUCCCUCUCUCAGCUGUAUACUCACUCCUUUCUCUCCCCCUCUCAGCCUUCUACUCACUCAUUUCUCUCCCUCUCUCAGCUGUAUACUCACUCAUUUCUCUCCCUCUCUCAGCCUUCUACUCACUCAUUUCUCUCCCUCUCUCAGCCUUCUACUCACUCCUUUCUCUCCCCCUCUCAGCUGUAUACUCACUCCUUUCUCUCCCUCUCUCAGCCUUCUACUCACUCAUUUCUCUCCCUCUCUCAGCCUUAUAAUCACUCCUUUCUCACCCUCUCUCAGCCUUAUACUCACUCCUUUCUCUCCCUCUCUCGGCUGUUUACUCACUCCUUUCUCUCCCUCUCUCAGCUGUAAACUCACUCCUUUCUCUCCAUCUCUCAGCCUUCUACUCACUCCUUUCUCUCCCUCUCUCAGCUGUUUACUCACUCCUUUCUCUCCCUCUCUCAGCUGUAUACUCACUCCUUUCUCUCCCUCUCUCAGCCUUCUACUCACUCCUUUCUCUCCCUCUCUCAGCUGUAUACUCACUCCUUUCUCUCCCUCUCUCAGCCGUAUACUCACUCCUUUCUCUCCCUCUCUCAGCUGCAUACUCACUCCUUUCUCUCCCUCUAUCAGCCUUAUGUUCACUCCUUUCUCUCCCUCUCAGCCAUAUACUCACUCAUUUCUCUCCCUCUCUCAGCCUUAUACUCACUCCUUUCUCUCCCUCUCUCAGCCUUAUACUCACUCCUUUCUCUCCCUCUCUCGGCUGUUUACUCACUCCUUUCUCUCCCUCUCUCAGCUGUAUACUCACUCCUUUCUCUCCCUCUCUCAGCCUUCUACUGACUCCUUUCUCUCCCUCUCGGCUGUUUACUCACUCCUUUCUCUCCCUCACUCAGCUGUAUACUCACUCCUUUCUCUCCCUCUCUUAGCCUUCUACUCACUCCUUUCUCUCCCUCUCUCAGCUGUAUACUCACUCCUUUCUCUCCCUCUCUCAGCCUUAUACUCACUCCUUUCUCUCCCUCUCUCAGCCUUAUACUCACUCCUUUCUCUCCCUCUCUCGGCUGUUUACUCACUCCUUUCUCUCCCUCUCUCAGCUGUAUACUCACUCCUUUCUCUCCCUCUCUCAGCCUUCUACUCACUCCUUUCUCUCCCUCUCUCAGCUGUAUACUCAAUCCUUUCUCUCCCUCUCUCAGCUGUAUACUCACUCCUUUCUCUCCCUCUCUCAGCCUUAUACUCACUCCUUUCUCUCCCUCUCUUGGCUGUUUACUCACUCCUUUUUCUCCCUCUCUCAGCUGUAAACUCACUCCUUUCUCUCCCUCUCGGCUGUUUACUCACUCCUUUCUCUCCUUCUCUCAGCUGUAUACACACUCCUUUCCCUCCCUCUCUCAGCUGCAUACUCACUCCUUUCCCCCCCUCCCUCAGCUAUGAACUCACUACUUUCUCUCCCUCUCGGCUGUUUACUCACUCCUGUCUCUCCAUCUCAGCCUUAUACUCACUCCUUUCUCUUGCUCUCUCAGCCUUAUAUUCACUGCUUUCCCCCCCUCUCUCAGCCGUAUAUUCACUCCCUUCUCUCCCUCUCUCAGUCAUGUACUCACUCCUUUCUCUCCCUCUCUCAGCUGUAUACUCACUCGUUUCUCUCCCCCUCUCAGCUGUACACUCACUCCUUUCUCUCGCUCUCAGCCAUAUACUCACUAAUUUCUCUCCCUCUCUCAGCCUUGUAUUCAUUCCUUUCUCUCCCUCUCUCAGCUGUAUACUCACUCCGUUUUCUCCCUCUAUCAGCUGUAUACUCACUCCAUUCUCUCCCUCUCUCAGCCUUAUAUUCACUCCUUUCUCUCCCUAUCUCAGCCUUAUACUCACUCCUUUCUCCCCCUCUCUCGGCUGUUUACUCACUCCUUUCUCUCAAUCUCUCAGCCAUAUACUCACUAAUUUCUCUCCCUCUCUCAGCCUUAUACUCACCCCUUUCUCUCCCUUUCUCAGUUGUAAACUCACUCCUUUCUCUCCCUCUCUCAGCCUUAUAUGCACUCCUUUCUCUCCCUCUAUCAGCCUUAUAUCCACUAUUUUCUCUCCCUCUCACAGCCUUAUAUUCACUCAUUUCUCCCCCUCUCAGCCAUAUACUCACUCCUUUCUCUCCCUCUCUCAGCCUUAUAGUCACACCUUUCUCUCCCUCUCUCAGCUGUAUACUCACUCCUCUCACUCCCUCUCUCAUCUGUAUACUCAUUCCUUUCUCUCCCUCUCUCAGCCUUAUAUUCACACAUUUAUCUCCCUCUCACAGCCUUAUAUUCACCAAUUUCUCUCCCUCUCAGCCAUAUACUCACUCCUUUCUCUUCCUCUCUCAGCCUUGUAUUCAUUCCUUUCUCUCCCUCUCUCAGCUGUAUACUCACUCCGUUUUCUCACUCUCUCAGCUGUAUACUCACUACAUUCUCUCCCUCUCUCAGCCUUAUAUUCACUUCUUUCUCUCCCUAUCUCAGCCUUAUACUCACUCCUUUCUCUCCCUCUCUCGGCUGUUUACUCACUCCUUUCUCUCAAUCUCUCAGCCAUAUACUCACUCAUUUCUCUCCCUCUCUCAGCCUUAUACUCACCCCUUUCUCCCCCUCUCUCAGUUGAAUACUCACUCCUUUCUCUCCCUCUCUCAGCCUUAUAUGCACUCCUUUCUCUCCCUCUAUCAGCCUUAUAUUCAGUAUUUUCUCUCCCUAUCACAGCCUUAUAUUCACUCAUUUCUCUCACUCUCAGCCAUAUACUCACUCCUUUCUCUCCCUCUCUCAGCUGUAUACUCACUCCUUUCUCUCCCUCUCUCAGCCUUAUAUUAACUCCUUUCUCCCCCUCUCUCAGCGUUAUAUUCAAACCUUUUUCUCCCUCUCUCAGCCAUAUACUCACUCCUUUUUCUCCCUCUCUCAGCUGUAUACUCACUCCUUUCCCUCACGCUCUCAGCUGUAUACUCACUCCUUUCUCUCCGUUUCACAGCCUUGUAUUCAUUCCUUUCUCUCCCUAUCUCAGCCUUAUACUCACUCCUUUCUCUCCCUCUCUCGGCUGUUUACUCACUCCUUUCUCUCAAUCUCUCAGCCAUAUACUCACUCAUUUCUCUCCCUCUCUCAGCCUUAUACUCACCCCUUUCUCUCCCUCUCUCAGUUGUAUACUCACUCAUUUCUCUCCCUCUCAGCCAUAUACUCACUCCUUUCUCUCCCUCUCUCAGCCUUAUAUUCACUCCUUUCUCUCCCUCUCUCAGCUGUAUACUCACUCCUUUCUCUCCCUCUCUCAGCCUUAUCUUCACUCCUUUCUCUCCCUCUCUCAGCUGUAUACUCAUUCCUUUCUCUCCCUCUCUCAGCUGUAUACUCACUCAUUUCUCUCCCUCUCUCAGUUGUAUAGUCACUCCUUUCUCUCCCUCUCUUUGCCUUAUAUGCACUCCUUUCUCUCCCUCUAUCAGCCUUAUAUUCACUAUUUUCUCUCCAUCUCACAGCCUUAUAUUCACUAA
Oncorhynchus mykiss (rainbow trout) is the source of this 3489-nucleotide long non-coding RNA. The record is from Ensembl. NCBI's taxonomy places the organism in Eukaryota, Metazoa, Chordata, Actinopteri, Salmoniformes, Salmonidae.